Molecule: long non-coding RNA, 3881 nt
Filed under: Capra hircus (goat)
Lineage: Eukaryota; Metazoa; Chordata; Mammalia; Artiodactyla; Bovidae
Description: lncRNA (ENSCHIG00000006389.1)
Source: RNAcentral
GUAGAUGACAAACUGAUGAUAAGACAACAUUUUCAGCCCUAUAAUAUUAUUGUAGGUGCUGGAGGUAUAGUGGUAGACAGACCAGAUAGAGACUCACUGCAAUGUAAAGAAAGUGAACAGGAAUCUAAGAUGGAAAAAAUACAGUGGUUGGUGGGCCUUUUAAAGCAAAUUUGCCAUAUUAUUCUCAAGAGAGUUAUGAUUUUAAAAUGUACUGCAAAUACAUGGAGAAAAAUCUUCUUUAUUUCUAUUCAGUAUUCAGCACAAACCCGGUUUAAAGUUUGGCAGCAAAUUGAAUUUUAGAAACAAUGAGUUUCAGCCCUGUGCAUUAUGGGAAGUACAGCCCACUUGCUGAGUCCUCUGUUCUAAAGGGGAAUGCUAUGCACUUUGUAUGGCAGACCAGAGGCUCUUCAUUUCCGUGCAGAAAGUAGGUUUCGUAUCACAGGAAGCUCCUGCUUUUCUUUUUCUCCAAUGCUCCUUAGGUUUGUGCUCAGAAUGGAAGGGCCUCCCCUGCGCCGCGCCGCCCCUCUUUCCCACGGCCCCAGAAUCUGUGUCCUUUACUUCCUGGCAGUCAUCAGCUGCUGGGUUUUCCUUCUCGUCUUUUCUGAAAGCAGGAAACGCAGAGGAGGUGCCUUGGAGACUGAAGGCAGCUUGCGCAGUGGUCUGACCUCUGCUCCACCCCACUUGGCUCUCUGCCAAGGGCAGUGGGGCAGCCAUGUGACCAAACCUGAUCUUCAGAGGCAGGAGAAUCUCCCUGCCCCCACCCUGGCUACACUAGUACCCAGCUGCUGGAGUCAGUUUUGUUCCCUUAAAGCUGUCUUGAUCCUAUAUAGGCACAGUCCGAUUUGAAAGUAUUAUUCAAAAGAAUCAAACAGAUCUGAGACACUGUUAAACUUAGUCCUGCUCAUGAACAUCUUGUUUCGCCUGCUCUGGUUUGAAAUCUUGUCUUAGCUUGUUUCAUGAGGACCUUAUGAAGCAUUCCCCCUGCCCCGCACCCCAGAAAAUGGAGCAAUACAGUCGUUAAGCCCAUUGUCUCCUCCCAGCCUUGCCCAGACUCAGAGCACAAUGCCUGGACACAUGAGGCUGCAGAUUGUUAUUCACUGCUCACAGAGAGGCCAAGUGAGUUGGGAUUAGCCUCAACAAUGCACCCUGCUAUUUGCUAUUUGGCCAGGAGCAAGGUUCUCAUCCAAUACAAUGCUUGUGCACGUUCAGCUCAUUGCUUGUCUGUGCACAUCCCCACACACAGGGAGGACUUUUACAAUCCAAAGUGACAACCGUGUGUCCUUGGCUCUGUUCCCGCCAGGGACAGGAAGGAGACUUAUCUGCUCUCUGCAUUCUAUCUCCUUGGCUGCUGACCCUCUAAUGCAUUUAUCUGAGCAAAAGACUUGAGUUUGCUUGUACUGUUUAUACAGACAUCUUGUGCUGGUUAUUAAGGCAUUUUCAUUAAUAAAGAAGCAUUUUGACUUUACCUCAAGUGGGCACAAAGCUAUCCAGGCAUGAUGACAAGAACUUCACUGGAUCAAUGCUAGAAAAUUCCUUCAAGCAAAGGGAAAUCAAGAUGAAGAGAAAGAUGGCCAAGAGAGUCAUAUGUGGGGUUUCCCAGGUGGUGCAGUGGUAAAGAAUCUGACUGCAAUGCAGGAGACUCAGGAGAUGUAGGUUCAAUCCCUGGGUCAGAAAGAUCCCCUGAGUUGGGAAAUGGAAAUCCACUCCAGUAUUCUUACCUGGAAAAUUCCAUGGACAGAGGAGCUUGGUGGGCUACACUCCGUGAGGUCACAAAGAGUCAGACAUAACAGAGUACAUAUACAAGGCUGUGUUUCUGAAUGUAAGCAAAAUGUUUGAAGAAUAGACUUAAGUUUUAUAAAAGAACAAGACUGUUGCAUUUAGAGUGCUAAAAUUGUUAUAAAAUUUCUAAGUCCAAGUCUUGUAAAGUCUUGCCUCCCUUCAGUCCUUAUUUGAUUAGAUCCCUUUUGGGGUGAGGAUAGAGAGUGAGGGACUCCUGACUCAUAGGAAGCCAGUGUUACUACCAGUACCUGCCAAAGAGCUAUCAUUUUAAGUCCAAAUAUUUAUUCCAGCAACAGAGGCUGACAGAAACUGACCAUCAUUCUGAAUUUAGUACCAACAGGUAUGCAAUGAUCACCAGUGUGUGAAGAAGCCUCUAUAUGAGAAGUUUACUCACCCAAGUUACCUCCUUGUUGUGCCUAGAGCAAAACUCAACCCUUCUAAUCAAUACCUGUAUUACUUUUCUAUUGCUCAUGAGACAAACUGCCCCACCAUUACAGGUUUUAAAGCACAGACUUAGCAUCUUAUAGUUCUAGUGUCCCAAAGUCCAAAAUGGGUCUCUUUGGGGGGUGGCGGAAUCAAGGUUUCAGCAGAGUUACUUUGUUUCUGGAGAUUGUAGCAGGAAAUACUGGGUUGGUCAAAAAGAUCAUUUGGGUUUUUUUUCUGUAAGAUGUUAUGAACUUUUUGGCCAAUGCAAUACAUUUCAUCUCCUUUUUCAGCUUCUAGAAGUUGCCCACAAUCCUUGGUUCAUGGCUUCUUCCAGCAAUCUCACACCUCUGACACCUACACCCAUUGUCACAUCUCCUUUUAAGACCCUCCUGUCUCUCUCUUUCUCUUAUAAGGACCCUUGUGGUUACACUGGGCACACUCAGAUAACCCAGAUCAUGUCAAGAUCAUUAAUUUAGUCACAUGUGUAAAAUCCUCUUUGCCGUGUAAGGUAAUACAGUCACAGUUUCAAUGAUUAAAACUUGGACAUCUCUGGAGGCUAUUAUUCUGCCAAACACAAUACCCUUUUCUAUAUACAAACUAGAAGUUAUUAGACAUUUCUGUAUUUAACUCUUCCUGCUCUACUCAUCUCAACUGACCACCUGAGCCUUCUUUUCCCCAAAGUAUUUCUUUGUAGCUUUCUGCUCCUUUAUAUGAUUGAAAGCUUCUUGAAAAAGUAGAUGCUGUGUUCUACUUACUUAUUAUUGUAUUCUUCAGAAUCCUUAGCAUGAUGAAAAAAAUGUCAAUAAAAUGGACUUACUGAAAAUUUAAAACUUGCUCAUUGAGAGACAUCAUUGAGUAGUAGGGCAAAAUUAGAUGGAAUUUCUGCUUCCACUGAACAUCUAAAUAACAGGGACCAGAUUUACCUUCCUUCCUGAAACAGCUAAAAAACUGGACAAUAUAUAUGGCACCAUGGUAGGGAAGAGACAUUGAGCCCUGAGAAAUGGGAAAUAUAUGCAUAAGCCCAAUGCUUGCCCUGAUUUGCUCCCUGGAGGGGUUUCUGUCUGAGGCAGAGAGAAAGGGAUAACAGGGAGAUACAUUGAUGGAGUUUAUGUGGACAGGGUUUGCAGGGCACAGAGUGGGAGGAGAGAACAGAGAUCUGUAAAGGGUCCUGCUUGAGUCUUCCACUAAGUACUGAUCAGUGCAGGUUUGUAAGGAGACUAUCAAGGUCUGGGGAAAGAGCUCUCUGAAAAGAUUAGAACAGUGCCAGGAGCUCACUCAAAGCCAGAAAUGGUUCCUGUUCUCACCACAUAGAGUAGAAAACCUCAUAAUUCAUGGGGCAUCAGGUAGAAUUCUUAGAGUCUUAGCGUAAGUUUUAAGACAAACGUACCCUAGAAUAAAGUCUGCUUUAGUUCCACAUCAGUUCAGUUCAGUUCAGUCACUCAGUCAUGUCUGACUCUUUGUGACCGCAUGAAUUACAGCACAGCAGGCUUCCCUGUCCAUCACCAACUCAUGGAGUUUACCCAACUUCAUGUCCAUCAAGUCAGUGAUGCCAUCCAGCCAUCUCAUCCUCUGUCAUCCCCUUCUCCUCCCGCCCCCAAUCCCUCCCAGCAUCAGGGUCUUUUCCAAUGAGUCAACUCUUCACAUGAGGUGGCCAAAGUAUUGGAGUUUCAGCCUCA